AAUGGGCGAAAGCCUGACGGAGCAAUACCGCGUGAGGGAAGAAGGCUCUUGGGUUGUAAACCUCUUUUCUCAGGGAAUAAAAAAAUGAAGGUACCUGAGGAAUAAGCAUCGGCUAACUCCGUGCCAGCAGCCGCGGUAAUACGGAGGAUGCAAGCGUUAUCCGGAAUGAUUGGGCGUAAAGCGUCCGCAGGUGGUACAACAAGUCUAGUGUCAAAGACCGGGGCUCAACCCCGGAAAGGCGGUGGAAACUGUUGAACUAGAGGGCCGUAGGGGUAGAGGGAAUUCCCAGUGUAGCGGUGAAAUGCGUAGAGAUUGGGAAGAACAUCGGUGGCGAAGGCGCUCUACUGGACGGCAACUGACACUCAGGGACGAAAGCUAGGGGAGCGAAUGGGAUUAGAUACCCC
RNAcentral lists this ribosomal RNA (404 nucleotides) under uncultured cyanobacterium. Its description in RNAcentral is "bacterial SSU rRNA". It matches the Rfam family "Bacterial small subunit ribosomal RNA", at positions 370 to 788 of the family's 1533-position model. Lineage: Bacteria; Bacillati; Cyanobacteriota. The record is from RNAcentral.